RNAcentral lists this ribosomal RNA (232 nucleotides) under uncultured bacterium. RNAcentral's name for it is "partial 16S ribosomal RNA". It matches the Rfam family "Bacterial small subunit ribosomal RNA", at positions 15 to 244 of the family's 1533-position model. The record is from RNAcentral.
GAUCCUGGCUCAGAUUGAACGCUGGCGGCAUGCCUUACACAUGCAAGUCGAACGGCAGCAUGGAGAGCUUGCUCUCUGAUGGCGAGUGGCGAACGGGGUGAGUAAUACAUCGGAACGUGUCCGUUUGUGGGGGACAACCGUCCGAAAGGAUGGCUAAUACCGCAUGAGACCUGAGGGUGAAAGCCGGGGACCGCAAGGCCCGGCGCAGACGGAGCGGCCGAUGAUUGAUUAG